UGGGGGAUAUUGCACAAUGGGCGAAAGCCUGAUGCAGCGACGCCGCGUGGGGGAUGAAGGCUUUCGGGUUGUAAACCUCUUUCGCUAUCGAACAAGGCCCGCUUAGGGUGGGUUGAGGGUAGGUGGAGAAGAAGCGCCGGCUAACUACGUGCCAGCAGCCGCGGUAAUACGUAGGGUGCGAGCGUUGUCCGGAAUUAUUGGGCGUAAAGGGCUUGUAGGCGGCUUGUUGCGCCUGCUGUGAAAACGCGGGGCUUAACUUCGCGCGUGCAGUGGGUACGGGCAGGCUUGAGUGUGGUAGUGGUGACUGGAAUUCCAGGUGUAGCGGUGGAAUGCGCAGAUAUCUGGAGGAACACCGAUGGCGAAGGCAGGUCACUGGGCCAUUACUGACGCUGAGGAGCGAAAGCAUGGGUAGCGAACAGG
This 420-nucleotide ribosomal RNA is filed under the name Chloroflexota bacterium. RNAcentral describes it as "Chloroflexi bacterium partial 16S ribosomal RNA". It matches the Rfam family "Bacterial small subunit ribosomal RNA", at positions 355 to 776 of the family's 1533-position model. The record is from RNAcentral. Lineage: Bacteria; Bacillati; Chloroflexota.